UGGCGGUCUGAACGUCUCCGGUGAGGUCCACGUAGCUCUCCAUGAGGUCCACGCCAUCUUUGGUCAGACCCGUCAGCAGGACGCCCUCCAGGGCGGCAGCACUCACCCUUCUCGGCGGUGGCUCCCUUGUUGAGGAUCUGGAUGGCCCGGCGGAUGUCCAGGUUGAACAGAGCCACGGCGGCCGCCCGCUCCCACUCCCGCUCCUGCUCCAGG
This is a long non-coding RNA of Notothenia coriiceps (black rockcod), 213 nucleotides long. RefSeq lists it as uncharacterized. Lineage: Eukaryota; Metazoa; Chordata; Actinopteri; Perciformes; Nototheniidae. The transcript is spliced from 3 exons. The record is from RefSeq and is a predicted model, not a curated record.